AGCUUUAAAUAGUUCUCCAGUCCUCCUUUCUAGACUGUUAAGACACCAACUAGUUUCUGGCAGCUUGCAAGGGACUAAAUACAAACAAUCAAGCAGUUAAAAGACAGUGAAGAAAACAGCCAUGGUGGGAAUCGGAAAAACACAACAUUCAAAGAAACAAGACAUGAUUAUCUACUGAAUCAGAAGAGAUGACUUCAUUGAACUGCCUAUCCACAAUGACAUCAAAAUCAGGGAAGUUUACAACUAAUUCUCGUCUCAUCAGCAUGCAAGAGCAAUUUAAUGUGCACACUUCAAACUGAAUUGCUUUGCAGGAAAGAGAACACACGAGAUCAUCAUUCCAGAGAUACUGCUGUUGAAGUCUGAUCCUGGAAUUAUCUUUCUGUCUGCUGAAUCCUGCUGGAUCCCUCCAAAACUCGGAGCAACACCAUCUUUUUUGAGAUGGCAAUAGAUCCCUUCUCAUUCUGCUUUCGCAAAGGAUGACAAUAUCCAUCUUUUCAACAUAUCCGUUCAGUUUUAUUUAUUUUAAUCGCGGCUUUCCAUUUGAGGUUACCAAGCAGAAACUUUUCUUGGAAAUCUGGUGUCACUCAUAAUUCAGAACCUUCUUCUGCUUGUACUAACAUUUAUGGACCACUUUCUUUUUCCCUCCCCUGACUUAGAACCAGAAAAAGGCCAUCUCAGUUACCUCCCUACAAUCCAGAAAUAUGCACAUUAGCAGACGUUGACCAAGAAACCUAAUAUAGUGGACACUACAGUACACACUGGAACUUGGGCCAUGUUGCCCAAUUCCUGAGUGACAUUUCUAUCCAGUUCCUGCCACUGUUAAUCCCAAUCCCAUCAUAACACUAUCAGCAUGAAAAUAUUUUAUAAGGAAUACAGGUAUAUCUAUAUUGCAGGGAAACUGCUUUUUAGUUAAUAUUAUCAGUGAAUUGGGAAAAAUUCACCGUAGGUGACUCCCAAUAAAUAGAACGGGUCAUAAUUCACAAUUAGGUCAGCUUGAUUUAUUACAGUUAGCUAAGAGAGAAAUAUUGGCUGUGAUGUUAUACACUGAUAUCAAAAGGAAAGAAUGUAGAUUUCUCAGUACUAUUCCCCCUUCACAAAAUGUCACUGGACGCUAUCAGCAAUGUCGAAUGUCUAUUUUUAUUUAUGAUAUUUAUAUCCUACUUUAAAAUGACGCACCUCACAUCAGUAUAAAUCAUGGAUGUAUAGCUAGGAGUCCAGGGCUACAAAUUACCUCUCUUUUGUUCAAUUUUAGUCCUACACUUUAUUUUGGUAAUUAACUUAAAGUCAGUAGUCUUACUAAAUAAGGCAGAAGAAUUUGGGAGGUAGGGAAAUCAGUCUACAAAUAAAAGUGAACAGGAUUUAAGAAGCCCAUGAUUUCAAUCCAUUUUCUCAUGGAUAUCUUUGGGUCCAUUCCACAAAUUCUCUCUAUUACCCUUAAUUCUAAGAGUUGUCCACCAUCCCCUUUGAUAUAAUAUAAAGCUUUGUGGUCAACAUGCUUUAUCUAUGACAUUUAUUUCUCUUCCUAUAAAAUCUGCUCAGCUCAGAAAGCCAGUAGAGAAGAUUUGUUAACGUCCCCACCAUGCAGUGAGACAGGACCAAGAUACAAGCCUAUGAAAGUAGGUCUCCCUGGGAAUAAAAUCUACAUCCUUGUUAUUAACGUUUAGAAAACAGUUAAAAAUCUGGUUAUUUAAGCAGGCAUUUGGGAAUUAGAGCUGUGUGAAUUAAAUACCCGGAAGGUGUAUGGUGCUAUUAGUUAUUAUGCAUUUAUGAAUAAUUGAAAUGAAUAUUUUAGAUAGAUUGCAUUGUAUUAUUAUUUUUUGUUAUUUUUUAUGUGUUUCAUUACACUUGUGAGCCUUUUAGAGUCCCCCAACAAAAUGAAUACAUCUUACAACUUUCCCAGUUGAUUAAAAAAAAAAAUGCUUAAAACUCAAGUUCUUACAUUGAACCAGUGGUCUCAAAGCAUCUCUCAAGCCAUAUUUAUAUAUGCAUGCAGGUCAGAAAGGAAGAAGCCUGAAAGCCAUUUGACGCACAGUGUCACUUCUCUAUUGAUAGCUAAAACUAUUUUGCAUCUGCUGAGUCACAGUAUACUUCGAUUUCAACACAAUCUUUCUUCACCCGGUGUUUAGAUUCCACUUAAGUGUGCCAAUGCAUCAUAGCAUGGCUACAUGUUACAAGUGAGCAUGAGAUAGAGAUUCUUUAGAUACUUCCUAUCACCUUAACAGGUGGACAUACUUGAAGCACUGAGCUACAGUUAGACUUCCCUUUUGGGACUUAUUCAAAGCGGCAUUGACUGGUCAUGGAAAGCCAUAAAUCACGAUAUGAGAUCCCAUGGUAUUUUUGUAAAUGAUACCAGAGAUUAAUGUUUUGUUUUGGAACAUGUCAGAUUUAUUCAUAUUAAGCGAAUUGAUAAAAUUAGACAGGGAAAGGAGUAUGGUGGCAUCUCUAGAUAUCAAGUUGCUUACUUAUUCCUUAACUUGGUGACUCUUCGAUCUGAUUCAUAAAGAAUGUUCUUAAGUUGUUAAUGCUUAAUGGGAAUGGAACAAAGGCUGUUGCAGCCAGAGAUUAUACAAAAGCACAUAUUAAAUACCACAGAUUUCUUGACACCCCCACCCCCUCCAAAAUGAGGUUGACAAUGCUUCCUAAAGGGCAAUGCCUAAUAACACAAUGCAGCAUGGUAAUGUAGUGUAAGAGAAUACGCAGCUUAGUACGCACUAUAAAUGAGGAGUUUUCAGUGAUGAUGAUGGAGCCAUACACAUUAGCAUCAGACUGAGCAGGACUUUUAAAAGCCCUUCUGUCUCCCUGUGUUUUCUUAAUAUUGCAGAGGGCUAUUAAGCAUAUAUUGAAAAGAGCUAGAAGUGGACCCAAUUGUAAUUUAUAAUAAGCUAAUCAAGUACCAAUAAAGAACACUGUGCAAAGAUGCUAAUAAAGUUUCAAACACAACAAUGUGCCAUUGUUUAAAGCAAUUGCCCAGCUUUUAACCCUAUUGCAGUGAUGAUUCCCAGCAGGUUGCUGUUCUCUGCGGGUGUUCCCUGCAAAUCAUUUGGACAGCAAAGACCAUGAAAUUAAUCCAGAGCCCCCCAAAAAAGGAUGAAUCUACUUGGUGCCCUUCACAGCCAUAUGUGCAGGCUACAUCAAACCUUGCAUUUGUUUUGCUACCAUGGAAUGACAAAAAUGUCCUUGUCAGAUGGGUGGACAUGAGGUGUUCAGGUGCAUACAUAAAAGCAAAGCAAGCUGUUUGUACUUUUAACCGGCCAGGAAGGGAUUUGGGGCUUUUGAUUGCAUCAAAUGCUCCUUAGCAUAUAU
This is a long non-coding RNA of Pantherophis guttatus, 3303 nucleotides long. RefSeq lists it as uncharacterized. The record is from RefSeq and is a predicted model, not a curated record. Lineage: Eukaryota; Metazoa; Chordata; Lepidosauria; Squamata; Colubridae.